RNAcentral lists this long non-coding RNA (874 nucleotides) under Bos taurus (domestic cattle). RNAcentral describes it as "long non-coding RNA NONBTAT025684". Lineage: Eukaryota; Metazoa; Chordata; Mammalia; Artiodactyla; Bovidae. The record is from RNAcentral.
UUCUCUUAAAAUUUUCUGAGUAAAUUAGGAAGAAAACAGAGAAACUUAAAUUAAACUUACUUAUAGAGAAAAGCCCACAAGAGAAACAUCAUAUCUAGAACAAUGGUUUUUCCAAGAGUUGGAAGAUAAAGAUAACAAAAUCACUUAUUUAUCUUUACUUAUCUGACUUUUAAUUUUCCUAUGUAUUGUCUGUUCUCUUUGGUAGAUUUUGCAUGUAAGAAUUGGUGUAAAAUCUCAAAACAAUACAUGAUACACUAUGUCUUUGAAUUUAGAAAGAAACAAAAACUAUCACUUUUUUAUUAGGGAAACGAUUAAAAUUUUGUAAUUGAACUCUAAUUGAACUUAAUUGAACUUGAUUGUUUAAUUGCUUGUUUAGUUUUAUCAAUCGUUAUAUCUUGUGGUUUUAUCAAGUUAUAUCAUUAAAUGACCUAGUUCAGGCAUUUUUUUAAAUUGAAAGAUAUUCAUCAUAAGAGGUCUAUUUAGAUCUUUCUAUUUCAUCUUGUUGGGAAUUUGUUAGUAUUUUUUAAGUUGGAAGACGUUUGUACAGAGGUUAAAGGAGGGUGAUGAGGAUGAAAGGAGACAGACCCCACAGUACCAAAUACUCCCAAAUCCCCAGAACUUUUGUUCUUGCUCACUCCUUUCUUUGCUCUAGAAGAUUACUUUCUCCCGCUGUCCCCCCAGUGCUGACUGAUUAAAGCCAACUUAACAGAGGCAGUUCAUAGAGUGCUAGUUCCCCUGACUCUUGAAUAACCCGAAAACCCUGUGUACCACAGAUAAAUACAGUAAUAAAUCUUCUCAGCUCCAGUGAUUUUAGUCUCAAUUUAAUCAAAUUGAGUCAUGUAUGAAUUUGUUCAAAUAGCGAACUCUCUGUAGA